This 247-nucleotide long non-coding RNA is filed under the name Elaeis guineensis (African oil palm). RNAcentral's name for it is "long non-coding RNA (EGUI_LNC032717)". Lineage: Eukaryota; Viridiplantae; Streptophyta; Magnoliopsida; Arecales; Arecaceae. The record is from RNAcentral.
AUUUCAUGUUAUUUCCCCAACUGUUUGACAUGUUUUUUUUUUUAAUCAUUUCUCUCAAAUGAACAUUGGCAUUAUCAUUAUUUACUUUUUUAGAUUGGAACAAAAUUUCCUUAAUUUCUUCUUUUAUGACAUCAUAGCUUGACCAAGGAUGCUAUGCCCUUUCACAUAUAAAGGUAUAGUUUGAUUGUUUAGAUCAUGAAUAAUAACCAUUUAACAUAAAGUGGGCUUCUAUUUAGUCCACCUAACA